GCCCGUGACCUGCGAUAGCUCAGUCGGUAGAGCAUGAGACUCUUAAUCUCAGGGUCGUGGGUUCAGACCCCACAUUGGGCA
Podarcis lilfordi (Lilford's wall lizard) is the source of this 81-nucleotide non-coding RNA. NCBI's taxonomy places the organism in Eukaryota, Metazoa, Chordata, Lepidosauria, Squamata, Lacertidae. The record is from the annotation of a GenBank genome assembly.